RNAcentral lists this ribosomal RNA (661 nucleotides) under uncultured fungus. Its description in RNAcentral is "eukaryotic LSU rRNA". It matches the Rfam family "Eukaryotic large subunit ribosomal RNA", at positions 24 to 664 of the family's 3401-position model. Lineage: Eukaryota; Fungi. The record is from RNAcentral.
CCCGCUGAACUUAAGCAUAUCAAUAAGCGGAGGAAAAGAAACCAACAGGGAUUGCCUUAGUAACGGCGAGUGAAGCGGCAACAGCUCAAAUUUGAAAUCUGCCUCUAGGCCGAGUUGUAAUUUGUAGAAGAUGCUUCGGGUGUGGCACCGGUCUAAGUUCCUUGGAACAGGACGUCAUAGAGGGUGAGAAUCCCGUACGUGACUGGCCGCCUUCGCCCGUGUGAAGCUCUUUCGACGAGUCGAGUUGUUUGGGAAUGCAGCUCAAAAUGGGUGGUGAACUCCAUCUAAAGCUAAAUAUUGGCGAGAGACCGAUAGCGAACAAGUACCGUGAGGGAAAGAUGAAAAGCACUUUGGAAAGAGAGUGAAACAGUACGUGAAAUUGUUGAAAGGGAAACGCUUGAAGUCAGUCGCGUCCGCCGAGACUCAGCCUCGCUCCGGCUUGGUGUAUUUCUCGGUCGACGGGUCAGCAUCAAUUCUGCCCCUCGGAUAAUGGCAAGGGAAAGGUGGCACCUUUGCGGGUGUGUUAUAGUCUUUUGUCGCAUGCGAGGGGCGAGAUUGAGGAUCUCAGCACGCGCACCUUUGGGUGUGUCGGGGCCUCGGCCCACGCCACGUGCUUAGGAUGCUGGCAUAAUGGCUUUAAACGACCCGUCUUGAAACACGG